UUAUGCCAGGGCUACACACGUGCUACAAUGGUCGGUACAACGAGUUGCGAGUCGGUGACGGCGAGCUAAUCUCUUAAAGCCAAUCUCAGUUCGGAUUGUAGGCUGCAACUCGCCUACAUGAAGUCGGAAUCGCUAGUAAUCGCGGAUCAGCACGCCCGCGGUCGAAUACGUUCCGGGCCUU
Molecule: ribosomal RNA, 181 nt
Filed under: uncultured Streptococcus sp.
Lineage: Bacteria; Bacillati; Bacillota; Bacilli; Lactobacillales; Streptococcaceae
Description: partial 16S ribosomal RNA
Rfam family: Bacterial small subunit ribosomal RNA
Source: RNAcentral